RNAcentral lists this ribosomal RNA (252 nucleotides) under uncultured bacterium. Its description in RNAcentral is "partial 16S ribosomal RNA". It matches the Rfam family "Bacterial small subunit ribosomal RNA", at positions 524 to 775 of the family's 1533-position model. The record is from RNAcentral.
UACGGAGGGUGCGAGCGUUAAUCGGAAUUACUGGGCGUAAAGCGUGCGUAGGCGGUUCGUUAAGUCAGAUGUGAAAGCCCUGGGCUCAACCUGGGAACUGCAUUUGAAACUGGCGGACUAGAGUUUAGUAGAGGGGAGUGGAAUUUCAGGUGUAGCGGUGAAAUGCGUAGAUAUCUGAAGGAACACCAGUGGCGAAGGCGACUCCCUGGACUAGAACUGACGCUGAGGUACGAAAGCGUGGGUAGCAAACAG